Molecule: ribosomal RNA, 491 nt
Filed under: uncultured bacterium
Lineage: Bacteria
Description: partial 16S ribosomal RNA
Rfam family: Bacterial small subunit ribosomal RNA
Source: RNAcentral
AGUGAACGCUGGCGGUAGGCCUAACACAUGCAAGUCGAACGGCAGCACAGUAAGAGCUUGCUCUUACGGGUGGCGAGUGGCGGACGGGUGAGGAAUACAUCGGAAUCUACUUUUUCGUGGGGGAUAACGUAGGGAAACUUACGCUAAUACCGCAUACGACCUACGGGUGAAAGCAGGGGAUCUUCGGACCUUGCGCGAUUGAAUGAGCCGAUGUCGGAUUAGCUAGUUGGCGGGGUAAAGGCCCACCAAGGCGACGAUCCGUAGCUGGUCUGAGAGGAUGAUCCGCCACACUUGAACUGAGACACGGUCCAGACUCCUACGUGAGGCAGCAGUGGGGAAUAUUGGACAAUGGGCGCAAGCCUGAUCCAGCCAUACCGCGUGGGUGAAGAAGGCCUUCGGGUUGUAAAGCCCUUUUGUUGGGAAAGAAAAGCAGCAGGUUAAUACCCCGCUGUUCUGACGGUACCCAAAGAAUAAGCACCGGCUAACUUCGU